GNCCUUGCGGAGGGAUCAUUACCGAGUUUACAACUCCCAAACCCCUGUGAACAUACCUAUACGUUGCCUCGGCGGAUCAGCCCGCGCCCCGUAAAACGGGACGGCCCGCCCGAGGACCCCUAAACUCUGUUUUUAGUGGAACUUCUGAGUAAAACAAACAAAUAAAUCAAAACUUUCAACAACGGAUCUCUUGGUUCUGGCAUCGAUGAAGAACGCAGCAAAAUGCGAUAAGUAAUGUGAAUUGCAGAAUUCAGUGAAUCAUCGAAUCUUUGAACGCACAUUGCGCCCGCCAGUAUUCUGGCGGGCAUGCCUGUUCGAGCGUCAUUUCAACCCUCAAGCUCAGCUUGGUGUUGGGACUCGCGGUAACCCGCGUUCCCCAAAUCGAUUGGCGGUCACGUCGAGCUUCCAUAGCGUAGUAAUCAUACACCUCGUUACUGGUAAUCGUCGCGGCCACGCCGUUAAACCCCAACUUCUGAAUGUGACCUCGGAUCAUGCACGUAU
This 501-nucleotide ribosomal RNA is filed under the name Fusarium sp. SVJM035. RNAcentral's name for it is "eukaryotic LSU rRNA". The stretch from base 171 to 324 matches the Rfam family "5.8S ribosomal RNA". Lineage: Eukaryota; Fungi; Ascomycota; Sordariomycetes; Hypocreales; Nectriaceae. The record is from RNAcentral.